CGCCCCCGGCGGCGGCGGCGGCGGCUCCCCCGGCCCUGGGCGCGGCGGUGGUUGCGCAGGCGCCGCCGGGCCGGAGAGUUUGGGACGCGCCGGGAAGUUGUGCUGGGUGUGCAGCCGCUGCCGCUCCCACCAUGUCGGGCUCCUCCAACGUGGCGGCCAUGAAGAAGGUGGUGCAGCAGCUGCGCCUGGAGGCCAGCGUGACUCGCGUGAAGGUUUCUCAGGCUGCAGCAGACUUGAAGCAGUUCUGCCUGCAGAAUGCACAACAUGAUCCCCUACUGACAGGAGUAUCAUCGAGUACAAAUCCAUUCAGACCCCAGAAAGUUUGUUCAUUUUUGUAAUUACAUGAACUACUUUGGUAUCUUUCAGUGGAUUACCCACCUGACAGCAUACAUGGUGAAUCCUGAUUGUGACAGAUAAAGCAGACUUUCAUUCUUAAACUUUUAAAGAGCACCAUCAAAGAUGAGUGGUAGCCUCCAAGAGCACUGUCCCCUACAGGAGAUGCCCUCUAAGCCACAAGAAAAAAGAAUUUUGUCAAGGCACCUACUCUACUCAUACAAGCUACUAAAUGGCUAGCAGGUUUAAAUCUUCUAGCAUCUUUUCCUAGCUGCUGAUGUGUGUAUGGGUAGAGUGCCUCAAGGAGUGGCCUGGUUUGAAGUCUGUACAAAAGCUUAGCUUUCAUGUGCCAAAUCUAACUGUAAAAUUGCUACUGUCGAACUUCUUACCAUCUACCUCUCCAAAUGAACUGUAUGCUAGUAAAAUACUUCUGUUUCAUAAGGGAAUCAGUUUUAUAUGCCAAGCAAAAAAUAAAAGUGUCUUGACUUAAUCUG
Strigops habroptila (Kakapo) is the source of this 827-nucleotide RNA transcript. It is a transcript of the gene named G protein subunit gamma 5, with no coding region annotated. The record is from RefSeq and is a predicted model, not a curated record. NCBI's taxonomy places the organism in Eukaryota, Metazoa, Chordata, Aves, Psittaciformes, Psittacidae. The transcript has 4 exons.